GUAGCCCGGAGGUCAGUGGCCGAGCGUGCGGACUGUUCCGGACGGUCCAGCGAUCGUUCGGGACCUACGGAUCAGAUGGAUAGGGGUUCGAAUCCCUUCGGGUGCA
Molecule: transfer RNA, 106 nt
Filed under: Actinomadura luteofluorescens
Lineage: Bacteria; Bacillati; Actinomycetota; Actinomycetes; Streptosporangiales; Thermomonosporaceae
Description: tRNA-OTHER
Source: RNAcentral